GGUCUUGAGUCACAUUUACAGAUGGGCAGGCAAAGAAACAGCACUGCUGUAGUUGAGUUAGUGCUCACUAAGUGGUUACACCCACUAAACCACACACAUCUGCCCUUGGUGGGGACCACGCCUCACACCAAAUGCUGAGACCAGCUGCCUUAUGAAGCCUCAUAAACUCAUAGCUUCACUGCUGCUAUCCGAAAGAAAAUACACAACAAGAAAGUGUCUCGAUCUGUGGAUUUGUGAAUAGGGCUCCUCACCAAAGCAUCAGGACACAGGGCCAAAGAGGUCAUUAGUAACUUAUCUUACUGGAAGACGAGAAAGAAACUUGAAAUAAAGCACCAGAUUUCCAGAAAAUCACCAUUUCAGGUACCUGGAAGAGGAAUAAAACUCCAAAGAAGAGCAUCUGCAGACUUUUACUGCACUUUAUGCUUAUGCUUUAGCUGAAGAUGCUUCAAACUGGAAUAAUCUGCAAACACCAGUCUUUACCAGGCUUGGAGAUUUGGAAGAACUUCUGAGGGACCAGCCAGAAGUGGAGACUAAGUCCACAGUGACUGGCCAAGAGCCUCAAGA
Non-coding RNA from Cyanistes caeruleus (blue tit), 564 nucleotides. The record is from RefSeq and is a predicted model, not a curated record. Lineage: Eukaryota; Metazoa; Chordata; Aves; Passeriformes; Paridae.